AGCUCCGAGGUGUUUUACAUGCCAGAUUGCAAAUCUGAAGUAGCAGGCUAACCCCCUGCCGGGGCUU
Molecule: transfer RNA, 67 nt
Filed under: Gymnammodytes semisquamatus (smooth sandeel)
Lineage: Eukaryota; Metazoa; Chordata; Actinopteri; Uranoscopiformes; Ammodytidae
Description: tRNA-Cys
Source: RNAcentral